GACGAACCGUGCGAACGUGGUUCGGAAUUACUGGGCGUAAAGGGCGCGUAGGCGGCUCAUCAAGUCGGGCGUAAAAUCUCCGGGCUUAACCUGGAAAAGUCGUUCGAUACUGUUGGGCUAGAGUGUGGAAGAGGCUACUGGAAUUCCGUGUGUAGCGGUGAAAUGCGUAGAUAUGCGGAGGAACACCGAUGGCGAAGGCAAUCCCCUGGGCCUGCACUGACGCUCAUGCACGAAAGCGUGGGGAGCAAACAGG
RNAcentral lists this ribosomal RNA (253 nucleotides) under uncultured bacterium. Its description in RNAcentral is "partial 16S ribosomal RNA". It matches the Rfam family "Bacterial small subunit ribosomal RNA", at positions 524 to 776 of the family's 1533-position model. The record is from RNAcentral.